AUGAGGAAGAUGAUGAAACCAGAAAAUCUUAGGACACCUUCUGACGCAGUGAAAGAUUGCUGUGUAUGAGAAAGAUUUCAGUUUCUGAUGCUUAU
This is a small nucleolar RNA of Vitis riparia (riverbank grape), 95 nucleotides long. RefSeq annotates it as small nucleolar RNA snoR31/Z110/Z27. The record is from RefSeq and is a predicted model, not a curated record. The transcript has a single exon. NCBI's taxonomy places the organism in Eukaryota, Viridiplantae, Streptophyta, Magnoliopsida, Vitales, Vitaceae.